AGGGUGCGAGCGUUAAUCGGAAUUUACUGGGCGUAAAGCGCAUGCAGGUGGUUUGUUAAGUCAGAUGUGAAAGCCCCGGGGCUCAACCUCGGAACUGCAUUUGAAACUGGCAGACUAGAGUACUGUAGAGGGGGUAGAAUUUCCAGGUGUAGCGGUGAAAUGCGUAGAGAUCUGAGGAAUUACCGGUGGCGAAGGCGGCCCCCUGGACAGAUACUGACACUCAGAUGCGAAAGCGUGGGGAGCAAACCAGGAUUAGAUACCCUCGGGAG
RNAcentral lists this ribosomal RNA (269 nucleotides) under uncultured bacterium. Its description in RNAcentral is "partial 16S ribosomal RNA". It matches the Rfam family "Bacterial small subunit ribosomal RNA", at positions 529 to 793 of the family's 1533-position model. The record is from RNAcentral.